UACGGAGGGGGCUAGCGUUGUUCGGAAUUACUGGGCGUAAAGCGCGCGUAGGCGGUUAGCAUAGUCAGGUGUGAAAGCCCCGGGCUCAACCCGGGAAUAGCACUUGAUACUGGUUGACUGGAGUUCGGAAGAGGAGAGUGGAAUUCCCAGUGUAGAGGUGAAAUUCGUAGAUAUUGGGAAGAACACCAGUGGCGAGGGCGGCUCUCUGGUCCGAUACUGACGCUGAGGCGCGAAAGCGUGGGGAGCAAACAGG
This 253-nucleotide unclassified non-coding RNA is filed under the name uncultured Rhodobacterales bacterium. RNAcentral's name for it is "contains 16S-23S intergenic spacer region". It matches the Rfam family "Bacterial small subunit ribosomal RNA", at positions 524 to 776 of the family's 1533-position model. Lineage: Bacteria; Pseudomonadati; Pseudomonadota; Alphaproteobacteria; Rhodobacterales. The record is from RNAcentral.